Non-coding RNA from Schistosoma margrebowiei, 45 nucleotides. The record is from Rfam. Lineage: Eukaryota; Metazoa; Platyhelminthes; Trematoda; Strigeidida; Schistosomatidae.
AUCCAGUUGACGAGUCCCAACUGGGACGAAACGCGCGUCGUGGAC